RNAcentral lists this transfer RNA (75 nucleotides) under Sapientia aquatica. RNAcentral describes it as "Oxalobacteraceae bacterium SA-152 tRNA-Arg". It matches the Rfam family "tRNA". Rfam says of the family: Transfer RNA (tRNA) molecules are approximately 80 nucleotides in length. Their secondary structure includes four short double-helical elements and three loops (D, anti-codon, and T loops). Lineage: Bacteria; Pseudomonadati; Pseudomonadota; Betaproteobacteria; Burkholderiales; Oxalobacteraceae. RNAcentral also lists the same sequence under 2 other names. The record is from RNAcentral.
GUGACCAUAGAUCAACGGAUAGAUCAAGUUCCUCCUAAGAAUUAGAUACAGGUUCGAUUCCUGUUGGUCACACCA